UUGUAGGCAACUUUAUGUAGAUAUAUGCCUGCCAGAUAAUAUCACUCUUUCCUUCUCACACAUAUUCUAACUGGGCAGCAUGCCUCCAACUGUGUUCCACCCUGCAAGGCCUGGGCUCCCCAUGUUAAGAUUAGUUCUCUGAUUUGGCAGCUUAAAACAACACAAAUAUAUUAUCUUACAGUUCUGGAGGUUAGAGUUCCAGAAUGAAUUUCACUGGGCUAAAAUCAAGGUGCGGGUAGGGCUGGGGUUUUUUUUGUUGUUGUUGUUGUUGUUGGGUUUUUUUUUUUUUUUUUUUUUUUUUUUGAGGCUUUAGAAGAUAAUCCACUUAUUUGCCUCUUUCAGCUUCUGGAGGACCCUUCAUCGCUUGGCUUAUGGCCCUCUUCAUCCAUCUUCAAAGCCAGGAACAUUGCAUUUACUUGAACAUUCAUCUAUAGUCUCAUCUCCCUCUAGCCAUAGCCGAGAAAUGUUCUUCACUUUGAAGAAACCAUAUGGGUUGAAUUGUGGCCCCUCAAAAGCAAUUUAUACAGAUGAAGUCCCAACUCUGGCCAUGGCCAAUAUUAGUUGGAUAAUUCUUUGAAUCUGGCUAAUGUGGAAUCUUGCAAGGACAAAGAGGAUUUGCUCAUGAACUGGUAAGAGAGGUACUGGUCAUGCAUGCUUAAAUGUGCUAAUAGUUCUGGUCUUUAAUGGUACCGACUUAAUGAAGAUGAUGUUAUGCAUUUUUAAUUGUUCGCCUAUGAUUCGACAUUAGCCAUGCCUUUCUAAUAUGAAGAUUUGUUGGCCAGAACUGACAUUAGCUGAAAGUGGAUCCUUAACUUGUCAGUUCCUCCCACAUCUUCCUUGCCUUUGUUUUCCCUAGUGCCUUUCAACUGAAUUGAUGAGCCCUAUUUGCAGACCCAGAUCACCCCCUAACCCUUUCCUAAAUCAAUGUUUAAAAUGGCAGAAAAUAUAUCAACAACCUCAGACUAAUUUAACACGGCUUGAAACACUGAGCCGGGAGUGAGCUUUGUGCAUUCAUUACACCCCUGAAUUGCAGUGCUCCUCGCCCCCUUUCUAGGUUACUUUCGCUCUGUUCUCCCACUGUGCAGUUUGGUAAUUUGGCCUUGUUUCCCUCUAGGACUAACUCCCCAUGCAGAACCUUGCCUAACUCCUGCCAAACUUUUCUUCCUAGACUCUGCCCUAGCCCAU
Molecule: long non-coding RNA, 1185 nt
Filed under: Macaca nemestrina (pig-tailed macaque)
Lineage: Eukaryota; Metazoa; Chordata; Mammalia; Primates; Cercopithecidae
Description: lncRNA (ENSMNEG00000046209.1)
Source: RNAcentral